AGGUUUAGAUUAAUAAAUGUUUUUUCCUCACAUCAACAGCAAUUUUCACAGGGGUCUGAAAUGGAGAAAUUUAGUUCAGGACCAAAGGAAUGCAGGAUCAUAACAUUAUUUGAUUAUAUUAUUAAUUCAUUGAUAUGUUUUCUCCCCAUUGCAACUGUAAUGUUGAUGUAGUGUUUUAAAUUUUGUGACCGUUCCAGCAAACUUAGAAUUUAUUUCUGUUGUAUUUUUUUGUUUCUUUGCAUGAUGUUGUUCAUUUUCUGUAUAAAAUAUGGGAAAAAUGUUUUUUGUUUUAAAAUAAUGUAAUGAGUUUUAUAGCUAAGUGACGUCAUUUCCACUUGCGUCGUCUAAUCGCGACUCGCUCCGCUUUGGGUUUGAGCUACAGGUAUGUGUAAAUGAGCUCUGAACAAAGUGUUAAUAUAUAAUACAUUAAGUAGAAAUUCUGAUUAAUACCAGUGGAUGACAUGUUUUAAUGCUAAGUUAAGUCAUGUAAUAUGCUUGGAUGUCGAUAUUUUUGUGUGUAAUCCAAGUUUUAUGUUAAUGAGGCCUUAUUGCAUUGUUUCAAAUUGCCGCCCGCGCGCUAUUUUGAACUGCGGGGUACAGUUGUAUAAUUCUUAAAAUAUAGUUAAAAAGGGUGGAUUACGUUUCUAUAAUAUCAUGCAGUUAUCAAUGUCAAUGUAUAUCUGUCAAUGUAUGCAUUUGCAGUUAAUUGUGUAUUUGAACUAGUGAUGGCAGAUGCAGUUAUGGUGUUAAUAAUGGGGCCAGGGUUUUAUUUUUCUAUCUUUUCGCACUUUUUCAUAGAGACUACAGAACUGAUCGUGAGAGUGUGAUGUUAAUUCCUGUCCUGUCUUUAAUAAACUGCAGAAUCUCAGACUCUUCACAUCCUAUCUGAGUGUGAAACGGCUCCUACAUGAGAGCAGCUCCUCAGCAGGGCUGGUGGGAGCAACCAUGGAGGAGAGGGACUGACUGGUGUCAAAAUUUGCAAAUGAGUCAAGACACUUACUCCGACUAAUGCUAAUACCUCUCCUGGAGAAGAGAGACACACAUCUCAACUCCUAAUUAUGCCAAUGUCAUGAAAGAUUCGGUCAUUUACUCUCCCUCAUGUCAUACCAAACCUGUAUGACUUUCUUUUUUUCCUAUUGAAAAGACAAUUUGAAAAGGGCACUGGUUGUUUUGUCCCUUGCAGUUAUAAAUUUCAAUAACAUAUUGAAGUUAUAACAUAAGCAGUGGUCCUAUUGACGACUUUUGCGUAGGAAUUACUGUACUCAGCAACCCGCUGCUCUUACAAAGUCAAUUCUGAACAUGAUUGUUAAAGACAUUAGACAUCUUUCCAUAGUGAAUGGACAAGGCUUUUGUGAAAUGGUUUCUGCAUUCAACCCAUAUCCAUCCAUCAAGAACACACUUUACAAGUUUAAUGGAAAAUAAAUGUAUGUAAAAAAAAAAACUGGUAUGCAUACACCUGAUGCAAAAAUUGCACAGUUUAGGAACAAUCUAGAUGUUAAACUUAACACCCUGUAAAAAUGACUAAACAGCGAUUUAACCACUAAGAGUUAAAAUUGAG
Pimephales promelas (fathead minnow) is the source of this 1558-nucleotide long non-coding RNA. RefSeq lists it as uncharacterized. The record is from RefSeq and is a predicted model, not a curated record. Lineage: Eukaryota; Metazoa; Chordata; Actinopteri; Cypriniformes; Leuciscidae.